Molecule: ribosomal RNA, 2472 nt
Filed under: Triticum aestivum (bread wheat)
Lineage: Eukaryota; Viridiplantae; Streptophyta; Magnoliopsida; Poales; Poaceae
Description: partial small subunit ribosomal RNA
Source: RNAcentral
AUGAAGCCAUCAGGCAUCAUGUCGUCCUCUUUUUCCAGCCACCUUGCUCCACUGCUUGUGCUCUUGCUGCACCAAGCUCAUCUGCUUGUAGCGAACAAACUCACAGGAGGGUCGACUCUCAGGCCACCGAACUACAUCACCUGCUUGUCCGGGGAGUAUGCCUUCGGCUUCCGUGCCCUCGGCAAUGACCCUAGCCGGUUCCUCCUUGCCGUCUGGUUCAACUUCAACCUCUCCCAGGCGGCUGACCCUGCGGAGCAGAGGGUGGUGUGGUAUGCGAAAGACCCAGACUCAGGCUCCGCCAUCACGGUCACAGGGCUAUCCGUAUUCAGCAUCAAUGGCCAGCUCUUCCUCGCCGACACAAAUAGCAGCAGCAUCUGGAGGAACCCGAACCCAAGCAACGAGUACGGCUCUGACCUCGUGCUCCAGGACUCAGGGAACCUCCAGUUCCUCGCCUAUGCGGGCAGCACCGUCAUGUGGGAGAGCUUUCAGUAUCCAACCGAUACGCUCCUCCCGGGGCAGUCUAUGGGCUCUGGAGCAGCCCUUCAGUCCAAGCGCACGGACACGGAUUUCUCUCGUGGCCGCUUCGGCCUGUACAUGCAGGCCGAUGGCAACAUUGUCUUGUACCUCAUGAACCAUGCUACCAGCAAUCUGGACCCAUCCAACGCUUAUUGGGUGACGGGCACCUACCAAUCCGGCAACACCCAAGACGGCAACACGACUCUUUUCUUCAACUCGCCGGGGCAUCUCUACUACCAUAUCAAGGACGGCAUGGUGCAUGACCUGAUACCUCCACUUCCAAACUCCACCAUCAGUUAUCACCAACACGCAACGCUUGAUCCUGACGGCAUUGUCCGGGUCUACACCCGGCCGAAGAAUGCCCCCGGGGGAAGGAGCAACGGGUCGUGGGCAGUCACUGGCCUAUUCCCAAGUGAAGGUUGCAGCAGGAGCAGCACUUUGCAAGGUUUGUGCGGCCCCAACUCCUACUGUGUCUAUGGUCCAAACGACCGUCUCGAUUGCAAGUGUCCAAGCGGCUACACUUUCCUUGAUGUGCAGCUCAAGUACAUAGGAUGCACGCAGGAGUUUGUACCACAAAGCUGUCAUGGGAACAGCCACUCCGCCGAGUUUGGGGUUGUCAAGAUGCCAAACACCACUUGGAAAAACUCGGUGUACGAAAGACAUUUGUGCACCACAGACGACCAGUGUGGAGACUUCUGCUUGAGCGACUGCCUGUGCACAGCGGCUCUAUUUGAUGGAACUUACUGUGCUAAGAUGGCGUCGUUGACAGAUGCCGGGCGGCAGGAAGAAAAUGUCACCAUGAAGGCAUUGAUCAAGGUGAGGAUAAGCAGCCCCUCGGUGCCGGCAUCGCCGAGAAGGAUAUUGCUUCAUGCACUACUCGGUUGCUCCGCAUUCCUGUUGCUGUUGGCAGCAGGUAGCCUCAUGUUGCAUUACUACCUUAGGAAGAAGAACACCGACCAUGACUUUGUGAGGGCUUACACCGCAAAAGAGCUUUACAAAGCCACCAAUGGCUUUCAUAAGUUUCUAGGCAGAGGAGGCUUUGGCGAGGUCUACCAUGGGGUGUUGAAGUUGCUACACUACCCAGAGAUAGCAGUGAAGAAGCUCAUCAGCUCCAAUGAUUACAGCGAGAGGGAGUUCACGAAUGAGGUACAGUCCAUCGGCCAGAUCCACCAUAGGAACCUAGUCCGCAUGGUUGGUUACUGCAAAGAGAAGGAGCAACGGAUGUUGGUGUUCGAGUUCAUGCCAGGUGGUUCCCUUCGGAGCUUCCUAUUCCAGCCUCAGCAGCAACCGAUGUGGAGUUGGCGCGCUGAAGCAGCCCUUGGCAUUGCAAAGGGCCUGGAGUACUUGCAUGAAGGAUGCAAUUAUCCAGUCAUCCACUGUGACAUCAAGCCCGACAAUAUAUUGUUAGAUAACAAGAAAAAUCCAAAGAUUACUGACUUUGGGAUUGCCAGGCUUCUUAGUGACCAGCAGAUGCACACCACGGUGACCAAUGUCAGGGGCACAAGGGGCUACAUUGCCCCCGAGUGGUUCCAAAGCGACAGGCGCAUCGACACCAAGGUUGAUGUGUACAGCUUCGGUGUUGUGCUGCUUGAGAUGAUAUGCUGCCGAAAGUCCCAGGAGCCGGUGCCUGAUCAGGAUGGUGACGACUCGGUCAUGCUAUUCGAGUGGGCGGGUCAGUUGGUUGGUGAUGGCAGGACUGAGGUUUUGUUUCAUAGCAAUGAUGACGCCAUUGUGGAUUUGGUCAGAGUGGAGAGGUUCUUGCGUGUUGCUCUCUCGUGCAUUGAGCAGAAUCCUUCGCUCCGCCCUACAAUGCACCAGGUGGUGCAGAUGCUGGAGGGUGUGAUUGAGGUCGACACUCUACCUGCUCCUACAAGCUCCAACUGUUCGUCGCCGUUUGCCUCUUCAGUCGACGCGAGCCCUCUGUUGUCAGGUGGUGCUACUCUUGCGAUACAGUGA